UGACAAAGGAAAAUUAAUUUCGUUAAUAAAUUUACAGUUUAUCGCCUGAACUCAGCCACUUUAUC
This 65-nucleotide transfer RNA is filed under the name Omorgus chinensis. RNAcentral describes it as "tRNA-Tyr". The record is from RNAcentral. RNAcentral also lists the same sequence under 1 other name. Lineage: Eukaryota; Metazoa; Arthropoda; Insecta; Coleoptera; Trogidae.